This 424-nucleotide unclassified non-coding RNA is filed under the name Hevea brasiliensis (rubber tree). The record is from RNAcentral. Lineage: Eukaryota; Viridiplantae; Streptophyta; Magnoliopsida; Malpighiales; Euphorbiaceae.
ACACAUUUCAACGCAACUCACGAUGUGCACAUUAGAAAAAGCCGGCAACAUCUUCUAUCUUACGCUUACCGGCAACGACGAGCACCGAUUGAAUCCUACUCUCAUCGCGACCCUCCGAUCAACACUAGCGCAAGUUAAAUCCCAAUCCGUUAAGGGUUCCGUUCUAAUAACCAAAGCCGAUGGAAGAUUCUUCUCCAACGGCUUUGAUCUAAAGUAUGCACAAGCCGGAGGCUCAGCAAAAGCUUCUAUCGAUCGGCUUAGGAGCAUGGUGGAUUCGUUAAAGCCAGUGGUUGCCGAUUUCAUGUCACUCCCGAUUCCAACCAUCGCUGCCGUUACCGGCCACGCUGCGGCGGCAGGGCUGUUGUUAGCGAUGAGUCAUGAUUAUAUAAUGAUGAGAUCGGAUAAAGGCGUGUUGUAUAUGAGU